RNAcentral lists this long non-coding RNA (205 nucleotides) under Lathyrus oleraceus (garden pea). RNAcentral describes it as "Pisum sativum (pea) long non-coding RNA (PSAT_LNC014235)". Lineage: Eukaryota; Viridiplantae; Streptophyta; Magnoliopsida; Fabales; Fabaceae. The record is from RNAcentral.
GAAAGAAGAAAAGAAGAAAAGUUUUAUAAAAUAAAUUAAAUGAAGAAUGAAUACUGAAUAAAAUCAAAAGAAUAAUCAAAGAAAAGAAAAAAUAGUAAAAAUUUGUGGGUUGUCUCCCACGAAGCGCUUUGUUUAAUGUCGCAAGCUCGACAUAAAACUAUUAAAUGUUAAUCUAUAAAUUUAGGAGACAAUACGUCUAAGUGCA